This is a long non-coding RNA of Canis lupus familiaris (dog), 1753 nucleotides long. RefSeq lists it as uncharacterized. The transcript has 6 exons. Lineage: Eukaryota; Metazoa; Chordata; Mammalia; Carnivora; Canidae. The record is from RefSeq and is a predicted model, not a curated record.
UAGAUACCAUUUGAUUUGUUCUCUCCCUCCUUUUCCUGAUCUGACACCGCCAUCCUCUCAACACACGUGCACUGGACAAUAUGGUCUACUAGAGGCAGGUACUUGGUGGCAAUUUUAUUUUUCUCUGGAUUAUAUUAUCUGGAAAGACAAGACCGGCCAUGGUCAAGAGGGUGAUGAUUUUUAUGGCCCUGAUAACAAUGAUACAGAUGCCAAAAGCCUUGCACAGCCUCGGAUUUUAUGAACAUUUCUAUAGGUGCCAUAAAUCUCUGCACAAUCCAGAAAGAACAUUAAAUCGUCUAUCUCGAAUGUUGAACAUUAAUAAGAGCUCAGGGAGAAAUUGAUUGGAGGGGGACUCUGCUAUAAGCAUUGGCUGCCAGAGAGGUUGGCUCUGGUAUUUUUAUUAAGGUGAUUCUAAGUUCUAUGAUUUCAGUUCUAAAUAUUAGUAAUAAAUUGACUGCAUAUGUAUUCAAACCCUUAACAGCAAACCUGAAUGAUAGAAGUUCUGUCCUGCUGUUAAUAUUUUUAUUUCCAAUUUCAAUGUCACUUUUUUUUCCACGAAUAUCUUUCUGGACAGAGUUCAUAUUCUGCAUUCAUACAAAGGGAUCUAUUUUCUCUGUGUAUCCCUGCACUGUGUUCCUAAAAGUCAACGGAGAAAGCUUUUGCCUUGAGGAUUGAAGCCCUGACCCCACUGCACUCUGAUGGCUUGCAUGCAAACACCCCCAGUGAGGAGGCUGGGGCCAUGGCCUGGGGGAGAGGCAUGUACUGGGCCUGUGGCCUUCUCAACACCCCCAAGAGAACCUGGUCUCUUGUCAGUGACUUCUACGGAUGCCACAGCUUGAGGAAGCCCUUUAGCUUUGCUUCCCAUUGCUCUGCGAUACAUGGAUAUAUUUUUGUUCCUGCACCUCAGACCAAGUCUACCCUGAAAAGAAUACUUUGAGAUGAAGAAUCUGGGAUGAGUCCGUGGGCAAGUGAGGGAACGAGAGAUGGGAAGCCAGAGUGGCCGACAGAAAGCAUCUCAAAAUUCAGGAAACCAUGGAGAGGAUCAUCCUUCCUUCUGGCCCCAUGACAAUGCACUCCAUGGAUCCCAGAUUGAUUAUUGACUGAGUUACAAGCAGAGUCUUCUAACUUUCCAGGAAAUACAAAGUAGUCACCAUCAACUCUGAUUCUCUAAGAUUUGUCCCGCCUUUUGGGUAAUUGAUUUAUUCUGAGAGGAAGUGAAAUCUCUGUCAGAUAGAACAGUAGAAUGACUCCUCUGAGAACAAAGUAAUUGCUGACUUCAAAGAGCUCCAAGGAAGUUCAGUGGAUGGAAAGAAUUUGGCCAGCAACUGGUCGGCGCCAUGAGCACCAGUGAAGAAAGCUGAAUGCUGGCACCUCUCCCCGGGCAGGCCCCCAGAGCUGCGUGAUGUGGUGUGCAGGUGACACAGACCCAGCCCCCCAGGGUCUACAGCCAGUGGUGGGGGCGAUGGAGCCUUGCCCAGUCCUGCCAGCGCAUCUUUUCCCUUCUCAGCACGGUAAUUGGAACAAGGGCUGAGCAGAGGCACAGCAUGCUAUUGGCAAAAGAUCUUUUUCCGGCUCUACCCUUGAAGACAGAGAAAAGGAAAAGCCAUCUUAUAAGGUUCCACUGCGUCUUCCUCAAGGUUGCCUUCAUCUGGCAUGGUGGCAUGGGCAGAGUGCACACCCCGUCAGAAGCAUCCGGGAUAGGCACAGUCAUUCCAUCAGUCAUCAAGAUAACUGAGAAGCUUGUGCCUGUGGG